This 520-nucleotide ribosomal RNA is filed under the name uncultured Glomus. RNAcentral describes it as "SSU rRNA". It matches the Rfam family "Eukaryotic small subunit ribosomal RNA", at positions 569 to 1090 of the family's 1831-position model. Lineage: Eukaryota; Fungi; Glomeromycota; Glomeromycetes; Glomerales; Glomeraceae. The record is from RNAcentral.
AGCAGCCGCGGUAAUUCCAGCUCCAAUAGCGUAUAUUAAAGUUGUUGCAGUUAAAAAGCUCGUAGUUGAAUUUCGAGAUCAAAUUGUUGGUCGUGCCUCGGUACGUACUGGCAUUAUUGAUUUCUCCUUUCUGAAGAACCUUGAUGUCAUUAAUUUGGUGUCUUGGGGAAUCAGGACCGUUACUUUGAAAAAAUUAGAGUGUUUAAAGCAGGCUCACGCUUGAAUACAUUAGCAUGGAAUAAUGAAAUAGGACGUUUGAUUCUAUUUUGUUGGUUUCUAGGAUCGACGUAAUGAUUAAUAGGGAUAGUUGGGGGCAUUAGUAUUCAAUUGUCAGAGGUGAAAUUCUUGGAUUUAUUGAAGACUAACUACUGCGAAAGCAUUUGCCAAGGAUGUUUUCAUUAAUCAAGAACGAAAGUUAGGGGAUCGAAGACGAUCAGAUACCGUCGUAGUCUUAACCAUAAACUAAUGCCGACUAGGGAUCGGAUGAUGUUAAUUUUUAAUUGACUCAUUCGGCGCCUUA